This 88-nucleotide non-coding RNA is filed under the name marine eukaryotic metagenome. RNAcentral's name for it is "Rhodo-rpoB RNA". It matches the Rfam family "Rhodo-rpoB RNA". The record is from RNAcentral.
GAUCGGGAGGUGCGUGGUGGGACAUGCACCGGGAAUUGAUCGAAACCCCCUGUUUCAUAAGGGCGUGCAACCGGGGCCCGACGGUUGU